This 218-nucleotide unclassified non-coding RNA is filed under the name air metagenome. RNAcentral describes it as "partial contains small subunit ribosomal RNA, internal transcribed spacer 1, and 5.8S ribosomal RNA". The stretch from base 1 to 46 matches the Rfam family "Eukaryotic small subunit ribosomal RNA", at positions 1786 to 1831 of the family's 1831-position model. The record is from RNAcentral.
AAGUCGUAACAAGGUCUCCGUAGGUGAACCUGCGGAGGGAUCAUUACUGAGUUAGGGAUCAAUCCCGACCUCCAACCCUUUGUGAACACAUCUUGUUGCUUUGGGGGCGACCCUGCCGCUCGCGGCAUUCCCCCCAGAGAUCAUCAAAACACUGCAUUCUUACGUCGGAGUAAAAAGUUAAUUUAAUAAAACUUUCAACAACGGAUCUCUUGGUUCUG